ACACUGCUGUAGAAUCAGCCAGUCAGAACACAGAGACGGGUUAGACACUGCUGUGGAAUCAGCCAGUCAGAACACAGAGACGGGUUAGACACUGCUGUAGAAUCAGCCAGUCAGAACACAGAGACGGGUUAGACACUGCUGUAGAAUCAGCCAGUCAGAACACAGAGACGGGUUAGACACUGCUGUAGAAUCAGCCAGUCAGAACACAGAGACGGGUUAGACACUGCUGUAGAAUCAGCCAGUCAGAACACAGAGACGGGUUAGACACUGCUGUAGAAUCAGCCAGUCAGAACACAGAGACGGGUUAGACACUGCUGUAGAAUCAGCCAGUCAGAACACAGAGACAGGUUAGACACUUGUGGAAUCAAACAGUCAGAACACAGAGACAGGUUAGACACUGCUGUGGAAUCAAACAGUCAGAACACAGAGACAGGUUAGACACUGCUGUAGAAUCAGCCAGUCAGAACACAGAGACGGGUUAGACACUGCUGUGGAAUCAGCCAGUCAGAACACAGAGACGGGUUAGACACUGCUGUAGAAUCAGCCAGUCAGAACACAGAGACGGGUUAGACACUGCUGUAGAAUCAGCCAGUCAGAACACAGAGACGGGUUAGACACUGCUGUAGAAUCAGCCAGUCAGAACACAGAGACGGGUUAGACACUGCUGUAGAAUCAGCCAGUCAGAACACAGAGACGGGUUAGACACUGCUGUAGAAUCAGCCAGUCAGAACACAGAGACAGGUUAGACACUUGUGGAAUCAAACAGUCAGAACACAGAGACAGGUUAGACACUGCUGUAGAAUCAGCCAGUCAGAACACAGAGACAGGUUAGACACUUGUGGAAUCAAACAGUCAGAACACAGAGACAGGUUAGACACUGCUGUAGAAUCAGCCAGUCAGAACACAGAGACAGGUUAGACACUUGUGGAAUCAAACAGUCAGAACACAGAGACAGGUUAGACACUGCUGUAGAAUCAGCCAGUCAGAACACAGAGACAGGUUAGACACUGCUGUAGAAUCAGCCAGUCAGAACACAGAGACGGGUUAGACACUGCUGUAGAAUCAGCCAGUCAGAACACAGAGACGGGUUAGACACUGCUGAUGGACAGCGAAAUUCUCUAAUGAGAGCACAGAGAGCAGUUUAAACUGGAAUCAUUUGUUUUGAGAAAAUGACAUUUGUCAUAUAUUGUAUUACAAUGUGAACCGUCUGAAUGAAGGACAAACCAAUAAAUACAUGUAUAUAAUCAGACAUAAAAUAUACAUUUCAUUCAACAGCGAUUAACAGCAACUGUUGAUGUGCAACAACUUUGUUUACCUGGUCUUCAUUCCAACCCUCCUAGGAAUUCUAGUAGUGUCUGAUCAAGAGUUAGUCCUAAAUGGCACCCUAUUCCCUAUGGCCCCUGGUCAGAAGUAGUGCACUAUACAGGCCAGGGAAUAGGAUGUGAUUUGGGCUGCAGCUCUAGUGUGUGAUGUCCUCCCUACCUGAAGUAGCGUUUCUGGCUGCUGGUGCUCUUCUCCAUGGCGUCCAGAGAGCCCAUGCCGCGGUACUUCUUCAGCCGCACGCCGUCCGAGAAGAAGUACUCCCCCGGAGCCUCCGUGGUCGCCGCUAGCAACGAGCCCAUCAUCACUGGGGAGGGGCGCAAGAGGUCAUAACUCACGGUCAUUGGUUGGUAAGCAUUUCUCCAAUUAACUGUCGGUACGGCUAGUGUUUUGUUACAUCGAUUACCAUCAAUCAGCUUUGAAUGAAUUAGAAGAAUAGACGUGAGAUCAACAGUGGAUUAGAAGAAUAGACGUGAGAUCAACAGUGGAUUAGAAGAAUAGACGUGAGAUCAACAGUGGAUUAGAAGAAUAGACGUGAGAUCAACAGUGGAUUAGAAGAAUAGACGUGAGAUCAACAGUGGAUUAGAAGAAUAGACGUGAGAUCAACAGUGGAUUAGAAGAAUAGACGUGAGAUCAACAGUGGAUUAGAAGAAUAGACGUGAGAUCAACAGUGGAUUAGAAGAAUAGACGUGAGAUCAACAGUGGAUUAGAAGAAUAGACGUGAGAUCAACAGUGGAUUAGAGGAAUAGACGUGAGAUCAACAGUGGAUUAGAAGAAUAGACGUGAGAUCAACAGUGGAUUAGAGGAAUAGACGUGAGAUCAACAGUGGAUUAGAAGAAUAGACGUGAGAUCAACAGUGGAUUAGAAGAAUAGACGUGAGAUCAACAGUGGAUUAGAAGAAUAGACGUGAGAUCAACAGUGGAUUAGAAGAAUAGACGUGAGAUCAACAGUGGAUUAGAGGAAUAGACGUGAGAUCAACAGUGGA
Oncorhynchus keta (chum salmon) is the source of this 2305-nucleotide long non-coding RNA. RefSeq lists it as uncharacterized. The record is from RefSeq and is a predicted model, not a curated record. The transcript is spliced from 5 exons. NCBI's taxonomy places the organism in Eukaryota, Metazoa, Chordata, Actinopteri, Salmoniformes, Salmonidae.